UCCACGCUGUAAACGAUGUCUACUAGGUUGUGGUCGUUCUGACACGGUCACGGCCGAAGCAAAAGUGUUAAGUAGACCGCCUGGGGAGUACGGUCGCAAGGCUAAAACUCAAAGGAAUUGACGGGGGCUCACACAAGCGGUGGAGCAUGUGGAUUAAUUCGAAGCAACGCGCAGAACCUUACCUGGGUUUGACAUGCACGGAUUAGCCCCGGGAAACCGGAGUGACGUCCCUUAGGGAUGGAACGUGCACAGGUGCUGCAUGGCUGUCGUCAGCUCGUGUCGUGAGAUGUCGGGUUAAGUCCUUUAACGAGCGAAACCCUUGCCGUUAGUUACCAGCGGGUUAUGCCGGGGACUCUAACGGGACUGCCGGUG
RNAcentral lists this ribosomal RNA (372 nucleotides) under uncultured bacterium. RNAcentral describes it as "bacterial SSU rRNA". It matches the Rfam family "Bacterial small subunit ribosomal RNA", at positions 794 to 1157 of the family's 1533-position model. The record is from RNAcentral.